CCGUAGCUCAGCUGGAUAGAGCACCAGACUACGAAUCUGGGGGUCAGAGGUUCGAAUCCUUUCGGGU
Molecule: transfer RNA, 67 nt
Filed under: Erythrobacter tepidarius
Lineage: Bacteria; Pseudomonadati; Pseudomonadota; Alphaproteobacteria; Sphingomonadales; Erythrobacteraceae
Also listed under: 8 other names
Rfam family: tRNA
About the family: Transfer RNA (tRNA) molecules are approximately 80 nucleotides in length.
Source: RNAcentral